This 85-nucleotide transfer RNA is filed under the name Felis catus (domestic cat). It matches the Rfam family "tRNA". From Rfam's summary of the family: Transfer RNA (tRNA) molecules are approximately 80 nucleotides in length. Their secondary structure includes four short double-helical elements and three loops (D, anti-codon, and T loops). RNAcentral also lists the same sequence under 2 other names. The record is from Rfam by way of RNAcentral. Lineage: Eukaryota; Metazoa; Chordata; Mammalia; Carnivora; Felidae.
GCCUGGGUAGCUCAUUCGGUUGAGUGUCUGACUUCGACUCAGGUGAUGAUCUCACAGUUUGUGGAUUCGAGCCCCAUGUCGGGCU